AAGCAUAUCAAUAAGCGGAGGAAAAGAAACUAACAAGGAUUCCCCCUAGUAACUGCGAGUGAAGCGGGAAAAAGCUCAAAUUUAAAAUCUGGCAGUCUUUGGCUGUCCGAAUUGUAGUCUGGAGAAGUGCUUUCCGCGCUGGACCGUGUAAAAGUCUCUUGGAAUAGAGCGUCAUAGAGGGUGAGAAUCCCGUCUUUGACACGGACAACCAGUGCUUUGUGAUGCGCUCUCAAAGAGUCGAGUUGUUUGGGAAUGCAGCUCAAAAUGGGUGGUAAAUUCCAUCUAAAGCUAAAUAUUGGCGAGAGACCGAUAGCGAACAAGUACCGUGAGGGAAAGAUGAAAAGCACUUUGGAAAGAGAGUUAAACAGUACGUGAAAUUGCUGAAAGGGAAACGCUUGAAGUCAGUCGCGUUGUCCAGAACUCAGCCUAGCUUUUGCUUGGUGCAUUUUCUGGUUAACGGGCCAGCAUCAAUUUUGACUGUUGGAUAAAGGCUUUGGGAAUGUGGCAUUCGAUUCGUCGGAUGUGUUAUAGCCCUUGGUUGCAUACAGCAGUUGGGAUUGAGGAUUGCAGCAUGCCUUUUAUGGUCGGGGUUCGCCCACGUUCAUGCUUAGGAUGCUGGCGUAAUGGCUUUAAACGACCCGUCUUGAAACACGGACCAAGGAGUCUAACAUGCCUGCGAGUGUUUGGGUGGAAAACCCGAGCGCGUAAUGAAAGUAAAAGUUGGGAUCCCUGUCGUGGGGAGCACCGACGCCCAGACCAGACCUUCUGUGACGGAUCUGCGGUUGAGCAUGUAUGUUGGGACCCGAAAGAUGGUGAACUAUGCCUGAAUAGGGUGAAGCCAGAGGAAACUCUGGUGGAGGCUCGUAGCGAUUCUGACGUGCAAAUCGAUCGUCAAAUUUGGGUAUCAGGGGCGAAAGACUAAUCGAACUCAUCUAGUAGCUGGAUCUGCGAG
Molecule: ribosomal RNA, 952 nt
Filed under: Neohypochnicium cremicolor
Lineage: Eukaryota; Fungi; Basidiomycota; Agaricomycetes; Polyporales
Description: LSU rRNA
Rfam family: Eukaryotic large subunit ribosomal RNA
Source: RNAcentral